CCUGGUGGUUCUGGCGAGGGUGUCCCACCCGAUCCCAUCCCGAACUCGGCCGUGAAACCCCUCAGCGCUGAUGGUACUGCGUCUUAAGGCGUGGGAGAGUAAGUCGCCGCCAGGU
Ribosomal RNA from Magnetospira sp. QH-2, 115 nucleotides. NCBI's taxonomy places the organism in Bacteria, Pseudomonadati, Pseudomonadota, Alphaproteobacteria, Rhodospirillales, Thalassospiraceae. The record is from Rfam.